Molecule: ribosomal RNA, 437 nt
Filed under: uncultured bacterium
Lineage: Bacteria
Description: bacterial SSU rRNA
Rfam family: Bacterial small subunit ribosomal RNA
Source: RNAcentral
GAGCGAUCUCUUCGGAGAAGAGCGGCGGACGGGUGAGUAACGCNGUGGGUAACCNUGCCCUGNUACACACGGUAUAACAUACCGUAAAGGUAUGCUAAUACGGGAUAACAUGAGAAAGUCGCAUGGCUUUUUUAUCAAAGCUCCGGCGGUACAGGAUGGACCCGCGUCUGAUUAGCUAGUUGGUAAGGUAACGGCUUACCAAGGCGACGAUCAGUAGCCGACCUGAGAGGGUGAUCGGCCACAUUGGAACUGAGACACGGUCCAAACUCCUACGGGAGGCAGCAGUGGGGAAUAUUGCACAAUGGGCGAAAGCCUGAUGCAGCAACGCCGCGUGAGCGAUGAAGGCCUUCGGGUCGUAAAGCUCUGUCCUCAAGGAAGAUAAUGACGGUACUUGAGGAGGAAGCCCCGGCUAACUACGUGCCAGCAGCCGCGGUAAU